AGGUGUUGGUUGGAGCCCCGGGAAAAAAAAAAUUUCCCCCCCGAGCUGGUGAAAGGCUAGCAAUGCCCACACGAUGCAUCGGCCAAUGCAUGUGAGCGUGUGGGCAUGUCCCGAUGAGGUCCCUUUUGAGUUUCCAACACCGAACAAACCACGUGGGGGCGUGGGAAUGGCUCUUGAUCACCCUAUUGGCACGGGCGAUCCUGGGCGACGGGUGGGCGAUGGAUGGGUGCUUGCUGGGUGAUACAUGGGCUGGUGAUUCAGCGUAUCAUCAUAGGAGAAUUCCUUACCAUCGUCCAUGGCACGUCACGAGAUGGCAUUGGAAAUAGGGGGAUGCGUUGGUUGAUGGCUUCUUGGACAAGAAAAUCCCCCCGAGCUGGUGAAAGGUCGGCAAAGACCCACACGUCUCCCUUGUAGUGCCUAAUGCAUGAGAGCGUGUGGGCAUGUCCCGAUGAGGCCCCAUUGAGAUCACAACAUCAUAUAGGGGCGGAGGGAUUGGCUCUCGAUCACCCUAUUGGCACGGGUGAUCGUGGGCGACGGGCUGGGCGACGGCUGAGCGCUCGCUGGGCGCUCGCUGGGCGCUCGCUGGGUGCUUGCUGGGCGCUCGCUGGGCGAUACAUGGGCCGGUGAUUCGGCGUAUCACCAUGAGAGAAUUCCUUGCCAUCAUCUAUGGCACGUCACGAGAUGUUGUUGGCUGAAUGGUUGGGCGCAUGGGCAUAGCUUGUGGGAGAUCCCCGGGCAAUUGGUGGGCAUUGGAUGGUUGGCGGAUAUCUUGUGAAUGUUUGAGAUCACCACGUGGAGCGUUGCUCGGGCUGGUGCCGAGCAGCCCCAAAUAUGUGAGUUGGGUACUUUUUGUGGACGGUUGUCAAUCCUCUCAUGCUUGGUAGCUAUGAAAUGAAGGGGGUUUACCAUGCCUCUCCCUUGUAUAACUUGCCCCGAUAUUAUCAGGCGACUGCGUUUGUCUCCCAUGCAGCAUCUUAGUCCGUAUAUCGCUCAUCCUAAUUACAUUCGUUUGUAAUACUGUGGCGCAGGUGGCCAAAGCGGGUGAUGGAAUAAGGUGUUGCAUGGGGGUACACUAUAGGUCUCCCAUGCAGCAUCUUAGUCCGUAUAUCGCUCAAUCCGGUUACAUUCGUUUGUAACGCUGCGGCGCUGGUGGCCAAAGCGGGCGACGGAAUAGGUUGUUGCAUGGGGGUACGCAUGGUCUUCCAUGCAGCAUCUUAGUUCGUAUAUUGCUCACCCCAGUUACAUUUGUUUGUAACGCUGCGGCGCUGGUGGCCAAAGCGAGCAAUGGAAAAAGUUGUUGCAUGGUGGAUCAUGUGUGCGUCUGCUCGCAUGCACCAUCUUAGGCCUUGAUUGCUCAGUCCGGUUACAUUCGUUUGUAACGCUGUGGCGCUGGUGGCCAAAGCGGGCGAUGGAAUAAGGUGUUGCAUGUGGGAAGGUCGUGGGCUGUUACUUUGAUGUUGGGGGUUCACCAUGCCUCUCUCCUGGAUAACCUUCCCGUUCCAUUCCACGCGGCCAUUUGACUUGUUUAAGGCGCUUCAUGUGCGAAAAAAACAUGGUCAUCUCAACGAGUGGUUUAGGAUAGGGGGUGUGAUGGGGGAGGAGUGUGUUGCUGCCCACUAUGCAUCAGCUUGGCCCGAUACUAUCAGGCGACCGUGUUAGUCUCCCAUGCAGCAUCUUAGUCCGUAUAUCGCUCAAUCCGGUUACAUUCGUUUGUAACGCUGCGGCGCUGGUGGCCAAAGCGGGGCGGUGGAAUAGGUUGUUGCAUGGGGGUGCGCAUGGUCUCCCAUGAAACAUCCAUCUUAGUCCGUAUAUCGCUCAUCUUGGUUACAUUCGUUUGUAACGCUGUGGCACUGGUGGCCAAAGCGGGCGAUGGAAUAAGGUGUUUCAUGGGGGAUCAUGCGUACGUCUGCUCCCAUGCACCAUUUUAGGCCUUGAUCGCUCAAAUCGGUUACAUUUUUGUUUGUAACGCUGCGGCGCUGGUGGCCAAAGCGGGCGAUGGAAUAAGGUGUUGCAUGGGGGAAAUCAUGGGCUGUUACUUUGAUGCGGGGGAACCUUCAGGAUAUUGCUACUAGAUUGCAUUUUGGGAAGACUACCGUGCCCAAUAACCCAGUUUGCACCCAUCCGGCUCCACGUAGUGCAAGCACAAAAUGUCCAUGAGAUGCCUGAUACUGUUCCGAAGCUUUUCAUAUUGGUUUGAAACUUUUGCCCCGAUAGUGUGUCCCGACUGUUGUAUCACCUGAUUUCGCGCACAGCGAGCGUUUUGAAUGGCGCCUCGUUCUACCAUAUGUAUUGCCCUUUGCGGGGUGAUGCACACAUGGGUGAGCGGGCAUUGUUCCCAACGCAACGUGUUGGCGUGUGAGUGGUAGUAGAGACACCUCUGCUUUUGGGCUCCGUGCUUUGCGCAUCGAACCAUAAGCACAUGUUUCCCUUAUUAGCAUCCGGCGUACUUGAUUGUAUACUGGCAAGUAAAAUGGUUCCUGUGUUGCCUACCCGUAGAAAUUGGAAAAUAUCAUUGCUAACGAGAUUCAUUGCCUUUAGCCGGCCAAAAGCUGGCCGAGGGCAACAUGUUAGUGUGGCUUGUGAAACCUACCGCGGCGUUUGCCCGCGUGUCUGGCUAGCAAGCUUGCACGUGCUUGGGGAUAUGGAAAACAUAGAUGGGUCAGGUUUCGAACUCGGCCGAUGCAAUUGUAGCUAAUUUUGUGACCGCCGGACCGUAAUGAUAAGUCCUACUCCCUGCGUGACCAGGUGUAGUUAGGCGCGGCACGGACAGUCGGCGACAUAAAGGAAUGC
RNAcentral lists this unclassified non-coding RNA (2790 nucleotides) under Anemone cylindrica. RNAcentral's name for it is "external transcribed spacer". Lineage: Eukaryota; Viridiplantae; Streptophyta; Magnoliopsida; Ranunculales; Ranunculaceae. The record is from RNAcentral.